RNAcentral lists this ribosomal RNA (468 nucleotides) under uncultured bacterium. RNAcentral describes it as "partial 16S ribosomal RNA". It matches the Rfam family "Bacterial small subunit ribosomal RNA", at positions 28 to 507 of the family's 1533-position model. The record is from RNAcentral.
GACGAACGCUGGCGGCGUGCUUAACACAUGCAAGUCGAACGGAAAGGCCCUGCUUUUGUGGGGUGCUCGAGUGGCGAACGGGUGAGUAACACGUGAGUAACCUGCCCUUGACUUUGGGAUAACUUCAGGAAACUGGGGCUAAUACCGGAUAGGAGCUCCUGCUGCAUGGUGGGGGUUGGAAAGUUUCGGCGGUUGGGGAUGGACUCGCGGCUUAUCAGCUUGUUGGUGGGGUAGUGGCUUACCAAGGCUUUGACGGGUAGCCGGCCUGAGAGGGUGACCGGCCACAUUGGGACUGAGAUACGGACCAGACUCCUACGGGAGGCAGCAGUGGGGAGUAUUGCACAAUGGGCGGAAGCCUGAUGCAGCAACGCCGCGUGCGGGAUGACGGCCUUCGGGUUGUGAAACGCUUUAGCCUGUGACGAAGCGUGAGUGACGGUAAUGGAUAAAGAAGCACCGGCUAACUACGUG